CUUGUGUGGUCUGAGAACCAGCUAAAGGUGGCCUGGCAUACUGUCACCGGCUGCGACCCGUGUGCAGCGCAAGCAGCUACCUCUUCAACACCAUGACUGCCUGUACAUGUCCCUCCGUGAUGAUAAUGAACCGAACCUCUGAACUGCAAAUCUUUCAUGUUUAGUCCGUUGGUUCUCUCAUCAACCUCCUCUGGAAACACCCUCACAGACACACCCUGAAGGACUGCAGCAGCAUUUCUCAAGAUAAGUCAGCUCCCAGAACUCCCAUGAGUCAACAUGUGCCUUGAUCUGCAGUGCCUCAGGGAUUGACCUAAGUGGGGUGAUGAGAGAGUGAAGAAAGGACAGACACACAGACGUAAGACAUGUGCAUUUUGAUGGAGAUGCACCAGCGGCAGCAACCUGGAAGCUCAGCACCUUUAUUUCACACAUCUACACUGGGGAAAUGGGUUUAUUGUGUGCAGCUGAAUAUAGGUUAGCUAAUCUUGGAAGGAGAUCUUUGGAGGGAAGCUGUGACUGACAGUUUUAGCACUCACUGGUCAGUCAUUUGCAAACACUUGUAUAGGACCAGAGAAAGGCUUUGCCAUGUCUCUAAGCCUCACCAGGGAAAGGCUUUGCCACCCCUGAGUCUGAAGCAUUGGGGUCUUGACAUGGCUGUGCACAAAUCAACGAUGCACAUUCACUCAGGCCUUCCUCCAUUCCCCACAAACAUAUACUGUGCAGUUUUGAACUUGGGCCAUGUAUUUACUGACUCCCCCAACCCUUAUGCUUUGGUUAGAAUUUUGGCAAGCUUUGCUUAGUCAGGUGGCAAGCUUGAGAUCAGGAGCCAUAUUUGGUUACUUAUAUCUUUACCUCCACUCCUGGC
Non-coding RNA from Peromyscus maniculatus bairdii (prairie deer mouse), 862 nucleotides. NCBI's taxonomy places the organism in Eukaryota, Metazoa, Chordata, Mammalia, Rodentia, Cricetidae. The record is from RefSeq and is a predicted model, not a curated record.